UGCGGGCGUGUAGCUCAGUGGUACAGCGCUGGCUUAGCAUGCACAGGGCCUUAGGUUUGAUCCCUAGCACCGUAA
RNAcentral lists this transfer RNA (75 nucleotides) under Marmota monax (woodchuck). RNAcentral describes it as "tRNA.Ala". Lineage: Eukaryota; Metazoa; Chordata; Mammalia; Rodentia; Sciuridae. The record is from RNAcentral.